CCUUAAUCAUAAUUACAAACCAGACAAUUUCCCACUUAUUUAAACACCAUGUCCUAGAGGAGUACAUGCACUCUUCUCCACAAAUAACAAAGCAUUUAGCAAACAGAUCCAAAGCCUUUUCUUGCUUGUAUUCAUCCUUGUCAAACAAAGGAUUAAGAGUAUGGCAGCCAAGUCUUCACUGAAGCUAGCUCUUUUAGUUGCUCUCCUGAUAGUUGUAUCUUGUUAGUUUCUCUCUCUUUCUCUCUCUCCUCUCUCAAUUUGAAACUGUUGUUAGUUUAAGCAUCAUUACGUGAAAAAUAAUCAAAGGGUUUGUAUAUAUUGCAGAUUCGCAGAUGGUUGCUGGUGAUUUUGUUAACAGGGGACCCAUAGUUUCUUUCGCUUGCACACAGGAUGCAGAUUGCGUAGGUAAGAAAUGCCCGUGUGAUCAACGCUGCACUUGUCAAGCAAAGACAUGUACGUGUGCUCAACAUCCUGAAGAAAUAUCGGGACGUUGAUUAUUACUAGUGAUGAACUAAACCGGAUGUGUGCUUCUUCUCAUCAUUAAUAAAAU
RNAcentral lists this long non-coding RNA (550 nucleotides) under Ricinus communis (castor bean). RNAcentral's name for it is "long non-coding RNA (RCOM_LNC000472)". The record is from RNAcentral. Lineage: Eukaryota; Viridiplantae; Streptophyta; Magnoliopsida; Malpighiales; Euphorbiaceae.